This 427-nucleotide ribosomal RNA is filed under the name uncultured bacterium. RNAcentral describes it as "partial 16S ribosomal RNA". It matches the Rfam family "Bacterial small subunit ribosomal RNA", at positions 355 to 774 of the family's 1533-position model. The record is from RNAcentral.
UGGGGAAUAUUGCACAAUGGGCGCAAGCCUGAUGCAGCCAAGCCGCGUGUAUGAAGAAGGCCUUCGGGUUGUAAAGUACUUUCAGCGGGGAGGAAGGUGUUGUGGUUAAUAACCACAGCAAUUGACGUUACCCGCAGAAGAAGCACCGGCUAACUCCGUGCCAGCAGCCGCGGUAAUACGGAGGGUGCAAGCGUUAAUCGGAAUUACUGGGCGUAAAGCGCACGCAGGCGGUCUGUCAAGUCGGAUGUGAAAUCCCCGGGCUCAACCUGGGAACUGCAUCCGAAACUGGCAGGCUUGAGUCUUGUAGAGGGGGGUAGAAUUCCAGGUGUAGCGGUGAAAUGCGUAGAGAUCUGGAGGAAUACCGGUGGCGAAGGCGGCCCCCUGGACAAAGACUGACGCUCAGGUGCGAAAGCGUGGGGAGCAAACA